GAAAGUUGAACGCAUUAAUUUACACCCUCAUGUUGGUGUAUCGACAGGGUGGUCCGAAGAAUUUUUGAAACACUUUGUACUGUAGGGUACAAUUGUGAUCUGACUAUAAGGGUGACUGUUACUUGAGGCUUGGUGCUGAGAAGCGUUUUUCCUGUCAGAUUCUUUAUGCGUAGCUGGACUCUCAGUUCCACCAUGCACUGCCCUUGAUGUGACUGUAGCGGGGAUGAGACCCCGUCCAUCUCCUUCUGGAAUGUACAUUUGCCAAGAAGGUCGGAAAUGGAUGCAGUACUCUUUGUUGAAGUUCGUCCUGCACAGCUGUAUGGUCCAGAACAGAUUGGAAAGCCAGCUGUUGACCUGUUAUGGUGGCUGGCAAAUUGAAGGUGACCCAAGUCAUUUCUGAGGAAGGAAUUGAUUCGCACCAUAACCAACCUCUCAAAGCACUUCAUUACGG
Molecule: long non-coding RNA, 451 nt
Organism: Pristis pectinata (smalltooth sawfish)
Lineage: Eukaryota; Metazoa; Chordata; Chondrichthyes; Rhinopristiformes; Pristidae
Exons: 3
Source: RefSeq, a predicted model, not a curated record